UACGGAGGGCGCGAGCGUUAAUCGGAAUUACUGGGCGUAAAGCGCGCGUAGGCUGUUGUGUAAGUUGGGGGUGAAAUCCCACGGCUCAACCGUGGAACAGCCCUUGAUACUGCGCGACUUGAAUCCGGGAGAGGGUGGCGGAAUUCCAGGUGUAGGAGUGAAAUCCGUAGAUAUCUGGAGGAACAUCAGUGGCGAAGGCGGCCACCUGGACCGGUAUUGACGCUGAGGCGCGAAAGCGUGGGGAGCAAACAGG
Molecule: ribosomal RNA, 253 nt
Filed under: uncultured bacterium
Lineage: Bacteria
Description: partial 16S ribosomal RNA
Rfam family: Bacterial small subunit ribosomal RNA
Source: RNAcentral